GUGCUUGCUUCAGUAGCACAUAUAUUAAAUUGGAACAAUACAGAGAAGAGUGGCAUGCCCCCUGCACGUGGAUGACACACAAAUUCACGAAGCCUUCCAUAUUAAA
Suricata suricatta (meerkat) is the source of this 106-nucleotide small nuclear RNA. The record is from Ensembl. NCBI's taxonomy places the organism in Eukaryota, Metazoa, Chordata, Mammalia, Carnivora, Herpestidae.